AGGGGGAGUAUUAUCUUAGGGGGAGAACAUGAAACACAACUUUUUAAUUAUGAUAAAAAAGGGGGAGAAAAUAUCUUAAAGCUUAUUGUUAUUCACUAAUGUCCUUGUCUUGUAUGAGUUGUGUUUUUACUCAGAUUAUUACUGAAAGCUUUAAUUCAAAGGAGUUUUUGAUCAUCAUCAAAAAGGGGGAGAAUGUUAGCAAAAUGAUGAAGAUGAAGUUUUGAUGAUGUCCAAAUCAAGUNAAGAUAUAUCAAGAUUCACGAAGAU
Molecule: long non-coding RNA, 267 nt
Filed under: Vigna radiata
Lineage: Eukaryota; Viridiplantae; Streptophyta; Magnoliopsida; Fabales; Fabaceae
Description: long non-coding RNA (VRAD_LNC004649)
Source: RNAcentral